Molecule: unclassified non-coding RNA, 297 nt
Organism: Callithrix jacchus (white-tufted-ear marmoset)
Lineage: Eukaryota; Metazoa; Chordata; Mammalia; Primates; Cebidae
Rfam family: Metazoan signal recognition particle RNA
About the family: The signal recognition particle (SRP) is a universally conserved ribonucleoprotein. It is involved in the co-translational targeting of proteins to membranes. The eukaryotic SRP consists of a 300-nucleotide 7S RNA and six proteins: SRPs 72, 68, 54, 19, 14, and 9.
Source: Ensembl
GCUGGGCACGGUGGUGCGUGCCUAUAGUCCCAGCUAUUCAGGAGGCUGAGGCCGGAGGAUCUCUUGAGUCUAGGAGUUCUGGGCUGUGCACUAUGCCGAUUGGGUGUCUGCAUUAAGUUUGGCAUCCAUAUGGUGACCUCCUGGAAGCGAGGGACCACCAGUUUGCCUAAGGAGGGGUGAACCGGCCCAGGUCGGAAAUGGAGCAGGUCAAAACUCCCGUGCUGAUGAGUAGUGGGAUCUCGCCUGUGAAUAGCCACUGCACUCCAGCCUGGGCAACAUAGCGAGACCCUGUCUCUU